CUCAAAUCUAACGAACGAACAUCAGGUGACCUCCAAUCAAGUUGUAGAAACAUCUCAAGGAUGAUCAAUGGAAACAGGAUGCACCUGAGCUCAAUUUCGAGUCUCAUAGGAAAGGGUUUGAAUACUUACGUAAAUAUGGAAGGGGGCAGAGUGAGACCAGCCUCUCUCUUCUCUAGUACUAAAAAUUGCCGGCAUCAUUGGUGAUACGGCAGUGACAGGGAUACUACAGGGGGGUGACAGUGACCACAGCCCCGUGUCUGACUCAAGGCCAUCGCAAGUUCAGGUUGAAGAGUGACUAGCAGAGAUCCAGUGCCACCCAGAGGGAGUCAACUCAUGCCAGUGCCACCCAGGGGGAGUCAACUCAUGCCAGUGCCACCCAGGGGGAGUCAACUCAUGCCAGUGCCACAUCAAGUAGGGAGCCAAGGGUGCUGACUGAUACGGUCCUGAAAAAACAAGAUGCCAUCAAUAACUCCAUCCUCCAAAUGAACAAUAAAUUGAAUGUGAUUUGCAUUCCAUUAAAUAACACAAAGGAUUCGCUAAAGCAACUGGUCACAUGUGCAAAUCAAAUGUUCUCUUGGAUGAAUAAAUUAUCUAAACUACAA
This 602-nucleotide long non-coding RNA is filed under the name Salmo salar (Atlantic salmon). RNAcentral's name for it is "lncRNA (ENSSSAG00000082450.1)". The record is from RNAcentral. Lineage: Eukaryota; Metazoa; Chordata; Actinopteri; Salmoniformes; Salmonidae.